ACAUUCUUAGCUUAGUGGAUAGAGCAAUGGUCUUCUAAACCGGCGGUGGUAGGUUCGAAUCCUAUAGAAUGU
This 72-nucleotide transfer RNA is filed under the name Dictyota dichotoma. RNAcentral's name for it is "tRNA-Arg". It matches the Rfam family "tRNA". Rfam says of the family: Transfer RNA (tRNA) molecules are approximately 80 nucleotides in length. Their secondary structure includes four short double-helical elements and three loops (D, anti-codon, and T loops). The record is from RNAcentral. Lineage: Eukaryota; Phaeophyceae; Dictyotales; Dictyotaceae.